UACGUAGGGUGCAAGCGUUAAUCGGAAUUACUGGGCGUAAAGCGUGCGCAGGCGGUGAUGUAAGACAGGUGUGAAAUCCCCGGGCUUAACCUGGGAACUGCAUUUGUGACUGCAUCGCUGGAGUGCGGCAGAGGGGGAUGGAAUUCCUGGUGUAGCAGUGAAAUGCGUAGAUAUCAGGAGGAACACCGAUGGCGAAGGCAGCACUCUGGGACGUGACUGACGCUGAGACGCGAAAGCGUGGGGAGCAAACAGG
This 253-nucleotide ribosomal RNA is filed under the name uncultured bacterium. RNAcentral describes it as "partial 16S ribosomal RNA". It matches the Rfam family "Bacterial small subunit ribosomal RNA", at positions 524 to 776 of the family's 1533-position model. The record is from RNAcentral.